This 64-nucleotide transfer RNA is filed under the name Nuttallia olivacea. RNAcentral's name for it is "tRNA-Val". The record is from RNAcentral. Lineage: Eukaryota; Metazoa; Mollusca; Bivalvia; Cardiida; Psammobiidae.
UAGGGAGUAGCAUAAAUAGUGCGUCUCAUUUACACUGAGAAAGUGGCCUGUAGGUCCUUCCUAC